CAGCACUGUUGGAAGGAAGAUACAGGAGAGUCCCCUAUUAUGAACGGGUUUGCCCCUGUGAUUCCGGGGAAGUGGAGUCGUUGACUCUAGCAUCCCAGGACACCUGGAUAUGCUCAGCCUACAAAGAGUUGGAGAACUGUUCUGCUUCUCUAUUUCCCUUCCCUGGCUCCUGGUUUGAGCAGCACUUCAUGGACAUCCAGACGGUGCUAUGACAUCUCCAGGCAGUUCAGAACAAUACUUCUCACAUGGCUACAGGAAGGAGAGAGGACAGCGAGCAACAGUGGAUUGGGAUGGAGGGAGAGAGAGUGCAUGAGAGAUGGAAGACCUGAAGAGGGCAUCAAGGCUGGCAAUGCCAUUGGCUCCAUCCAUAGCUGGUGAGCUGCAUUUGGCUUGGCAAGUCACAAGU
Long non-coding RNA from Rhineura floridana, 406 nucleotides. RefSeq lists it as uncharacterized. The record is from RefSeq and is a predicted model, not a curated record. The transcript is spliced from 3 exons. NCBI's taxonomy places the organism in Eukaryota, Metazoa, Chordata, Lepidosauria, Squamata, Rhineuridae.